This 220-nucleotide ribosomal RNA is filed under the name uncultured bacterium. RNAcentral's name for it is "partial 16S ribosomal RNA". It matches the Rfam family "Bacterial small subunit ribosomal RNA", at positions 266 to 504 of the family's 1533-position model. The record is from RNAcentral.
CACCAAAGCGACGAUCAGUAGCCGGCCUGAGAGGGUGGACGGCCACAUUGGGACUGAGACACGGCCCAGACUCCUACGGGAGGCAGCAGUAGGGAAUAUUGCACGAUGGGGAAGCCCUGAUGCAGCGACGCCGCGUGAGCGAAGAAGUAUCUCGGUAUGUAAAGCUCUAUCAGCAGGGAAGAAGAUGACGGUACCUGACUAAGAAGCACCGGCUAAAUAC